GUCUACGGCCAUACCACCCUGAACGCGCCCGAUCUCCUCUGAUCUCGGAAGCUAAGCAGGGUCGGGCCUGGUUAGUACUUGGAUGGGAGAAGCCUAAGUAGCCACU
RNAcentral lists this ribosomal RNA (106 nucleotides) under Panthera pardus (leopard). Lineage: Eukaryota; Metazoa; Chordata; Mammalia; Carnivora; Felidae. The record is from RNAcentral.